Molecule: non-coding RNA, 495 nt
Organism: Penaeus vannamei (Pacific white shrimp)
Lineage: Eukaryota; Metazoa; Arthropoda; Malacostraca; Decapoda; Penaeidae
Source: RefSeq, a predicted model, not a curated record
CAAGACAACACACCCAUACAGUGUCUUCCUCCUCUUCCUCUUGUGUCAGAGGGAGGAAGAGGAGGAGGGACUUGUUCACGUCAUACCAACUGGUGCUUCAUAUCCUAGUCAUUGUGGUGCAAGUCGGUAGCAAACACUGAAACAGAAAUCAGCAAGUAAGAAAUUCUUCAUAUCAUCGCGUGCUGUAGGUCUAGUCGGCAAGCAAAGAAAGCUGCUUCCGUUGAACGUAUCAAUUGGAGUCUUGUGAAUCCGUUACUGCAAAUACUUCCAGAUUUGGCGCCCUAAAAAGGUGUUCAUCGCAUAUCAUCCAUCAAGACUGGAUGACCCCAACGAAGAAGCAGAUCAUCAUUGGUCUUUCUUUUGGAUAAAGAACCGGGGAACGACGCAGCUUAAACAUAACUGGAAACUGGAAACUACUGGAUAAACCUUCAACGUGAUUUAGUGUAAGAUUUAGUUUUAGUUACACUUUAAACAUAUCAGAAACCUUUGGACGUA